Molecule: ribosomal RNA, 275 nt
Filed under: uncultured prokaryote
Description: partial 16S ribosomal RNA
Rfam family: Bacterial small subunit ribosomal RNA
Source: RNAcentral
UACGUAUGGGGCAAGCGUUAUCCGGAAUUACUAGGCGUAAAGGGCAGGCAGGCGGAUCCAUAAGUUUAUCGUUUAAGGCGUCGGCUUAACCGGCGUAGGGCGGUAGAUACUGUGGAUCUGGAAUGCGGUUGGGGAAGACAGAAUUCCUGGUGUAGCGGUGGAAUGCGCAGAGAUCAGGAGGAAUACCGAAGGCGAAGGCAGUCUUCCAAGCCGUUAUUGACGCUCAACUGCGAAGGUGUGGGUAUCAAACAGGAUUAGAUACCCUGGUAGUCCCU